UUUAACCUUUCAGACGCGGUCUUGACGACGUGGUGCAGGAGCAGUACCCGACUAUGAGGUUGGAAAUUUCGUUCAGAGUGGGAGAUUGUCAGCAGCCUUGGCCUCCCCUGAGGAGUGUCCAUUUUCUCAAGUUCUAGAAAGGAGUGCUGGAGUGCAGCUUGUGCUUGCG
Long non-coding RNA from Acomys russatus (golden spiny mouse), 169 nucleotides. RefSeq lists it as uncharacterized. The transcript has 3 exons. Lineage: Eukaryota; Metazoa; Chordata; Mammalia; Rodentia; Muridae. The record is from RefSeq and is a predicted model, not a curated record.